GAUGAACGCUGGCGGCGUGCCUAAUACAUGCAAGUCGAGCGAACGGACGAGAAGCUUGCUUCUCUGACGUUAGCGGCGGACGGGUGAGUAACACGUGGAUAACCUACCUAUAAGACUGGGAUAACUUCGGGAAACCGGAGCUAAUACCGGAUAAUAUUUUGAACCGCAUGGUUCAAAAGUGAAAGACGGUCUUGCUGUCACUUAUAGAUGGAUCCGCGCUGCAUUAGCUAGUUGGUAAGGUAACGGCUUACCAAGGCAACGAUGCAUAGCCGACCUGAGAGGGUGGUCGGCCACACUGGAACUGAGACACGGUCCAGGCUCCUACGGGAGGCAGCAGUAGGGAAUCUUCCGCAAUGGGCGGAAGCCUGACGGAGCAACGCCGCGUGAGUGAUGAAGGUCUUCGGAUCGUAAAACUCUGUUAUUAGGGGAGAACAUAUGUGUAAGUAACUGUGCACAUCUUGACGGUACCUAAUCAGAAAGCCACGGCUAACUACGUG
This 497-nucleotide ribosomal RNA is filed under the name uncultured bacterium. RNAcentral's name for it is "partial 16S ribosomal RNA". It matches the Rfam family "Bacterial small subunit ribosomal RNA", at positions 28 to 507 of the family's 1533-position model. The record is from RNAcentral.